UACGAAGGGGGCUAGCGUUGCUCGGAAUGACUGGGCGUAAAGGGCGCGUAGGCGGAUUGUACAGUCAGGCGUGAAAUUCCCGGGCUCAACCUGGGGGCUGCGCUUGAGACGUGCGAUCUUGAGUGGGGAAGAGGGUCGUGGAAUUCCCAGUGUAGAGGUGAAAUCGUAGAUAUUGGGAAGAACACCGGUGGCGAAGGCGGCGACCUGGUCCUUGACUGACGCUGAGGCGCGAAAGCGUGGGGAGCAAACAGG
This 252-nucleotide ribosomal RNA is filed under the name uncultured bacterium. RNAcentral's name for it is "partial 16S ribosomal RNA". It matches the Rfam family "Bacterial small subunit ribosomal RNA", at positions 524 to 776 of the family's 1533-position model. The record is from RNAcentral.